CAGUCGCCGCGGUAAUACGGAGGGCGCGAGCGUUACCCGGAUUUACUGGGCGUAAAGGGCGUGUAGGCGGCCUGGGGCGUCCCAUGUGAAAGGCCACGGCUCAACCGUGGAGGAGCGUGGGAUACGCUCAGGCUAGAGGGUGGGAGAGGGUGGUGGAAUUCCCGGAGUAGCGGUGAAAUGCGCAGAUACCGGGAGGAACGCCGAUGGCGAAGGCAGCCACCUGGUCCACUUCUGACGCUGAGGCGCGAAAGCGUGGGGAGCAAACCGGAUUAGAUACCCGCGUAGUCCCUGUCUCUUAUAA
RNAcentral lists this ribosomal RNA (301 nucleotides) under uncultured bacterium. RNAcentral's name for it is "partial 16S ribosomal RNA". It matches the Rfam family "Bacterial small subunit ribosomal RNA", at positions 509 to 809 of the family's 1533-position model. The record is from RNAcentral.